GACGAACGCUGGCGGCGUGCUUAACACAUGCAAGUCGAACGGAAAGGCCCUGCUUUUGUGGGGUGCUCGAGUGGCGAACGGGUGAGUAACACGUGAGUAACCUGCCCUUGACUUUGGGAUAACUUCAGGAAACUGGGGCUAAUACCGGAUAGGAUCUCCUGCUGCAUGGUGGGGGUUGGAAAGUUUCGGCGGUUGGGGCUGGACUCGCGGCUUAUCAGCUUGUUGGUGGGGUAGUGGCUUACCAAGGCUUUGACGGGUAGCCGGCCUGAGAGGGUGACCGGCCACAUUGGGACUGAGAUACGGCCCAGACUCCUACGGGAGGCAGCAGUGGGGAAGAUUGCACAAUGGGCGGAAGCCUGAUGCGGCAACGCCGCGUGCGGGAUGACGGCCUUCGGGUUGUAAACCGCUUUCGCCUGUGACGAAGCGUGAGUGACGGUAAUGGGUAAAGAAGCACCGGCUAACUACGUG
Molecule: ribosomal RNA, 468 nt
Filed under: uncultured bacterium
Lineage: Bacteria
Description: partial 16S ribosomal RNA
Rfam family: Bacterial small subunit ribosomal RNA
Source: RNAcentral